CAUACAGCUCUCCUAUGACCUGGGCUCAGGGCCUGUGAGACUGCACACAAACAAGCAAGUGGCAGAUGGACAUUUUCACAGUGUCGCAGCCAGGAGGAUUGGAAAUAUGGGCUCUUUACAUGUGGACAACUGCACAGAUGUUGACAACAGUGGAUUUUGUUUUUCACAGAGUGAUAGCAGUAGCUCAGAGAGGACAUUAGACGUCGGUGGCAGUAAUGUCACAUUUGGAGGACUGAGGACUGUUGAAUUUAUUCUGCUGCCUCCUGCUCAGAUAAAAACCCACGACUUUGUUGGAUGUAUUCGAAACAUUCAUGUUAACGGUAUCCUGCUCAGAGCUGCAA
Molecule: non-coding RNA, 341 nt
Organism: Paralichthys olivaceus (Japanese flounder)
Lineage: Eukaryota; Metazoa; Chordata; Actinopteri; Pleuronectiformes; Paralichthyidae
Source: RefSeq, a predicted model, not a curated record